UACUAGAGUAGCACUCGCAUAUCAAUAAGCGGAGGAAAAGAAACUAACAAGGAUUCCCCUAGUAACGGCGAGUGAAGCGGGAAGAGCUCAAAUUUGAAAUCUUAAAGGGUUUCCCUUUACGAAUUGUAGUUUAAAGAAGUGUUUUCUGUUGAGGUUUUGGUAAAAGUUCUUUGGAAUAGGACAGUCAGUAGAGGGUGAGAAUCCCGUAUUUGACCUUUACUUUCAACUUUGUGAUACACUUUCAAAGAGUCGGAUUGUUUGGGAAUGCAGUCCAAAAUGGGUGGUAAAUAUUUCAUCUAAAGCUAAAUAUUGGCGAGAGACCGAUAGCGAACAAGUACCGUGAGGGAAAGAUGAAAAGAACUUUGAAAAGAGAGUUAAACAGUACGUGAAAUUGUCAAAAGGGUAGCGUUUGACACCAGUGUUGUUUUUCUGAAAAUCAAUUAAAGAACUGUUUAUGCUAAGUUGUUUAGACUUUAUCAGCUAUCUGUUUAGUUUUGAGCUUUUCUUUAAUGCACUUUUCAGUUAACAAGUCAACAUCAAUUUCUUUUGCUGUAAAAAAGCUUGAGGAAGGUGGCUUGAGAUUCGUCUUAAGUGUUUAUAGCCUCUUGCCUAUGCAGUCGGAGAGAUUGAGGUCUGCAGCGUAGAUCCUUCGGGGCUAAAUGCAUUUGUGCUAAGUUAUAGCAUUUUAUAGACAACUUGUUGACUAUGAUUUGUCUUGUAGCUUACUCGCUUAUGUUAUUUUACCUACGCUUAGGAUGUUGAUCUCUCACAGUCGAGC
RNAcentral lists this ribosomal RNA (778 nucleotides) under uncultured Neocallimastigales. RNAcentral's name for it is "partial large subunit ribosomal RNA". It matches the Rfam family "Eukaryotic large subunit ribosomal RNA", at positions 20 to 645 of the family's 3401-position model. Lineage: Eukaryota; Fungi; Neocallimastigomycota; Neocallimastigomycetes; Neocallimastigales. The record is from RNAcentral.